AGCGAACGCUGGCGGCAGGCUUAACACAUGCAAGUCGAGCGGGCGUAGCAAUACGUCAGCGGCAGACGGGUGAGUAACGCGUGGGAACAUACCUUUUGGUUCGGAACAACACAGGGAAACUUGUGCUAAUACCGGAUAAGCCCUUACGGGGAAAGGAUUUAUCGCCGAAAGAUUGGCCCGCGUCUGAUUAGCUUGUUGGUGAGGUAAUGGCUCACCAAGGCGACGAUCAGUAGCUGGUCUGAGAGGAUGAUCAGCCACAUUGGGACUGAGACACGGCCCAAACUCCUACGGGAGGCAGCAGUGGGGGAAUAUUGGACAAUGGGCGCAAGCCUGAUCCAGCCAUGCCGCGUGAGUGAUGAAGGCCCUAGGGUU
Molecule: ribosomal RNA, 372 nt
Filed under: uncultured bacterium
Lineage: Bacteria
Description: bacterial SSU rRNA
Rfam family: Bacterial small subunit ribosomal RNA
Source: RNAcentral